UACGGAGGGUGCAAACGUUGCUCGGAAUCAUUGGGCGUAAAGCGCACGUAGGCGGAUCGCUAAGUCGGAUGUGAAAGCCCUCGGCUUAACCGAGGAAGUGCAUUCGAAACUGGCAGUCUUGAGUAUGGAAGAGGGUCGCGGAAUUCCCGGUGUAGAGGUGAAAUUCGUAGAUAUCGGGAGGAACACCAGUGGCGAAGGCGGCAUCCUGGACCAACACUGACACUGAGGAGCGAAAGCCAGGGGAGCAAACGGG
RNAcentral lists this ribosomal RNA (253 nucleotides) under uncultured bacterium. RNAcentral describes it as "partial 16S ribosomal RNA". It matches the Rfam family "Bacterial small subunit ribosomal RNA", at positions 524 to 776 of the family's 1533-position model. The record is from RNAcentral.